Molecule: ribosomal RNA, 460 nt
Filed under: uncultured bacterium
Lineage: Bacteria
Description: partial 16S ribosomal RNA
Rfam family: Bacterial small subunit ribosomal RNA
Source: RNAcentral
CCUACGGGAGGCUGCAGUGAGGAAUAUUGGUCAAUGGUCGCUAGACUGAACCAGCCAAGUAGCGUGCAGGAUGACUGCCCUAUGGGUUGUAAACUUCUUUUAUGUGGGGAUAAAGUGCGUUAUGUAUGCUGCUUUGCAUGUACCUUAUGAAUAAGGAUCGGCUAACUCCGUGCCAGCAGCCGCGGUAAUACGGAGGGUCCGAGCGUUAUCCGGAUUUAUUGGGUUUAAAGGGAGCGUAGGCGGGUUGUUAAGUCAGUUGUGAAAGGUUGUGGCUCAACCGUGAAAUUGCAGUUGAUACUGGCAUGCUUGAGUACAGGAGAGGUAUGCGGAAUUCGUGGUGUAGCUGUGAAAUGCUUAGAUAUCACGAAGAACUCCGAUUGCGAAGGCAGCAUGCGGCACCGCAACUGACGCUGAAGCUCGAAGGUGCGGGUAUCAAACAGGAUUAGAUACCCGAGUAGUC